RNAcentral lists this long non-coding RNA (29924 nucleotides) under Triticum aestivum (bread wheat). RNAcentral describes it as "long non-coding RNA (TAES_LNC006230)". Lineage: Eukaryota; Viridiplantae; Streptophyta; Magnoliopsida; Poales; Poaceae. The record is from RNAcentral.
UUUUUUUCUGUUUUUCUGUAUUAAUGUUAUAGAAAUGUUAGUUAUAUAUAGAAAUGUGUUAGAAAUGUUAGAAAUGUUAGUUAUAUAGAAAUGCUAGUUUUUUCUAUAUUAAUGUUAUAGAAAUGUUAGUUAUAUAGAAAUGUUAGAAAUGUUAAAGAAAAAUUAGUUAUACAAUUUUAGUUAUAGAAAUGUUAGAAAUCACAAUCCAAUCAUUUAAAAAAUGUUACUUUUGCGGCAUAUAGUAUUUGUUGUCGGCGAUGCCCCGCCGGCAUCCUCGCCGUCGACCCGUUCGCGACGACGUCCUGCUUCAGAGGACCCAUGUCCGAGACUGGGCUCCGCCGGGCUGGUACUGGGAGGUGCUACCUUCAGGGGCGCAACGCUUGGUGAGGAACCCGGCCCCAGGUCCCAUCGUCGACCAUGAUCUCCUUUGGUGGUGUUCGCGUGGGCCACUUUCGGUGCGGAGGGAGCCGGCCCCGCCGGAGGUGGUACGUCGCCGUUUCAGGGAGGAGGACGAGCACGCCCAUCGCUACAUGGCUGUUAUGGAUGUCAGGUUCUCCAAUACCUGGCAGGUUCUUUUGGGAGAUCACCCGAGCUAUGAUCCAGUGAUGGUUCCUUCUCUUUGGGUGUCCACUGCCCGCACCUCAGGAACUGCGAGUGGCCUAGAUUACUCUAUAGUAUUCGAUCUUUAUUAGCUUGCUAGCUAGCUAGCUAGUGAUGUAUUCGAUAUUAUAUCUAUUCUUCGAGACGAUGUAUUUGAGAUUAUAUCUAUUAUUCGAGACGAUGUAUUCGAGAUUAUAUCUAUUAUUCAAGACGACGUAUUCGAGAUUAUAUUCGAUGAUGCUUAUUAUGUACUAUGAUUGAUUCAGUUUUUCCUUAUUAAUUGAUUGCAUCCAUGCAUUGUAAUUUGAAUAUAUUUCUUUUGGAUUAGUUAAAUAAAACAUGUGGUGGACAAUACCGGCAGAGAGGGAGAAGAGGCCCUAUUCAAUAUCAUACGCAAUCCUCGCGGGCCAGAUGAUGAUCAGAAUGAAGAAGAUUAUGAUGGCUCCGAAUAUCUAAACAACACCGGGGAGGGUGAUAUGAUAUUCGAUCGCGACGACCGAAUUGAUGAAGACAUGAACUAUGAACAUGACAAAGAAAAUGUUGAUCUUGAAACAACAAAGACUGGCGAGGUAUAUAUAUUUAUAUAAGCAGGCAUUUGGUGAUCAUCACAUGUUUUAAAUGACUUGAAGAUAUAUUAACGAAUCGAUCUUUCUUCUUUCAGCCAUCCGGAUCGAGCAAAUCUUCAGGCAACAGGAAACGAGGCCCGAACAAAAAGUUGAAGGAGGGCGUAAAGUACAAUAUCGAGGCCAUCAAACCUAAUAGCGAACCAUUAGCACCUAAGAAGAUUGCGGACAAGUUCAUUCGUCAAUGCGGAGUUCUUGUGAAGGACCAACUCCCGAUCUCCCUUCAAGAAUGGAGAGAGCCAGCAAAGCCACGUCCAGGAGUUACUUUUGUCGACGACAGACAAAAACUUCUGCUUUGGGAAACGCUCAUGGAACAUUUUACCCUACCAGAUCAUUUCACAGAUGCAGAUGUGGAGAAAGUCAAGGACGCUGCUCUUAGGAAGAUGGCGGUUGCAUUCAACAACCACAAGAAUCGUGAAUGGGCCAAGUACGUCAAGGGAGGAAGGAAGACUCCAGUAUUUGAGGGAACACUAGAGAAGCAAAGUGCUCAUUGGGACGAUUUCGUGAAAUUCAAGGAUUCGGAAUUAUCUAAGGAACGAUCGAGAAUAAACAAGGCCAAUGCCGCAAAAAAGGAUAAGUUCCAUAAGCUGGGGCCAGGUGGCUAUGCGAUGGGAAUGCCUAAGUGGGAUAAGUCUGAGAAAGAGAUGGAGGAUGCAUGUGUCACUCCAGAAACAUUGAGCUGGCCCCCAGGUGCAGGACUUGGUUCUAUGCGCAUGGGGGGAGUUGGACCCGAAGACAGGCAAAGUUUCAAAGAAGGCAUAUCUGGACGAAGCCGAAGAUAAGCUACUUGUUGCAAUAGAAGAGGCUCGAUCGGGAGUGUUCCAGCCCAACAGAGAGAACGACGAGCUUACGCGUGCCCUGGGAAAUCCUGAACACCCGGGAAGAACACGAGGCAUGAGCGCUAUUCCGUGGUAUGAGGGGUUUUCGGACUGGAAUGCCGACUACAGAACCCGUGCGAGAAAUAAGAUUGCGGAGGAGAAGAAGAGGAAGAUGGAGGAGGAGCAGAGGAAGCUAGACUAUGAACGCCUUCAAGGCCUAGAAUCAGCGCACGCGGACUUGGCAGUCAAAUUCCAGCGGCAGCAGGAGCAGAUCGACUCACUUAGCCAGCAAAGGGGGGCCUCAACAGCUGCAGCAGCUAGCGGAUGAUCCAGCAUUGGAUAGCACCGUCCCAUCCAUGCCGAGAAGUAGCAUGGGUUCCGCUCCGGGCGACGCAUUGCUGGAUAGCUACCCAGUGGAUGACAUCAUGGAGAACACUAACUGCGAGCUACACUUCAAAAUGAAGAACAUAUCCAUGAAGGUGGCGGACGCCCUUGCUUUUACAAAUCCCCCCGAGGCAACCUUCCAUUGCAACCCGAUUCCAGCGGGCUAUGCUCGUGUCUUGGUUGAUGAGGUGGUGGACCAAUAUUCAGGGCUAGAGCUUGACAUUCCUGGAGGUGACGAUGAGCACACACUGGGAGAGGCCAACCAUCGUAUCAUCCUAUGGAGAAAGGAUUGCAUUAUCUUUCAAAGGCCACCGACACCGCAUCAUCCGACUCCUCGUCGAAGUCCGCCACCGAGUCAGCAGACUCCCGCUCCUCCAAGUCCACCAAAGCGUCAGGCCACUCCUCCUCCAAGUCCGGCACAGCUUCAGGCCACUCAUCCUCCAAGUCCGGCACAGCUUCAGGCCACUCCUCCUCCUCCAACUCAGCCACGUCAGCCGUCUUCGCCGCCUCAGCAAUCACGGAAGAGAACCGCCUCAGCUAUGGUGCGUAGCGGUACAAGUCGAGGUAGUACUGGAGGUACAGGCGGAGGCAAGCGAUUUCAAUAUGGUCCAAGCCUCGCGCCUCUUCCGCAGAGGCCUUACGACAAGUCCGAGGAGGAAAACGUAGCCAUAUCGAAGGCCGAGGUGGAAGCCCAUUUUGCACCAAAACCGCCACCGCCGCCAAGGGAGAAAGUGCCUGAGGAAAAGACUGACCACUUCAUUCGUAUGGCUAGAGCACCAGCUCCCAAGCCUGUUGACACAGACUAUGAGCGCCACAUCAAGAAGUUAAAUCGAGCACGUCUACAGAAAGAGGCGAGCUCGAGCUCGAGCAAAUCAGCUGGCAAAAGGAACGGUAAAACCGUUCCCCAGCUGGGAGAACAGGCGGCGCAAUCAAUCCCCCCGCUUGUUGUGCCAACAACACAUGAGAGUAGGCGCGCCCAAUAUUAUUGUGGGCAAACCGUUAACGUUCCCGGGCUGGGCGAUGUGGUAAUAACCGUGGAGCAUAUUGAGCAGGCUGAAACGCUCAUGAUCACUGUUGGAUAAAUCCUCGAUAUCAAGCCCAUGUCUUCGACUAGAGAGGAGGAAAUAAAACGGAAAUAUGUCCGGGGCCAACCUUUGGUCGAGCCAGACGUUGUCAAGAAGCUCCCAACAAGAAUGUAUGAAUUGCAUCAAUGGUACAUGGACAUUACAAAGAUUUCCAAUCGAGAGUCCCUCAUGGUGAAUGUCGAGAAGGAUCAUUACUACCAUGAGACAGCUGUGUCCGUUGAGUAUUCAGAACUAUUUCAGCUAUACAAUCAAGACGCACUCGACAAAUCUAUCGUCAGUUGCUAUUGUCUGUAAGUGAUUUCUUUCUGUAAUUUAAGUCUCAAGCUAGUUGUAGUGAUCAUUUUGAUCAAUCAUUACCUGUAAUUAUCCUCACUAUAUUCUUUUCUGUGGUAUUAUGCAAGAUGAAGAUUUAUGAAAUGAAAAAAGGUGGAUGCUAUGGCAUUGGGUUCGUUGACCCAAAUACCAUUAAUGAAUACACAUGGAAAUUAUAUCCAUAUUACGAAAAAAGUGUAGAGAAAAGCAUGCUAGAGUUCUUCAAGCGCCUCAAAUACAAUGAAGAUAUACUACUUCCUUACAACUUCGAGUGAGUCACACUGUCUUGUACUACAAAUUCUGUUUUUGCCUACUAGCUAGCUACAUGUUUUUGCUUACAUAUGCCCGCUUAAUUAAGACAUGCAAACGUGUGUGCAUGCAGAUUUCACUGGAUCUUGUUAAUCAUUAAAGUUGAUGAAGGAACAGUUGAAGUACUAGACUCACUACUUAAGAAAGCAAGUGACUACACCAUCGUGGAGGGGAUAGUCAACAGGUAAUUUCAAUCAUUAUUAACUAUAUCUCGGCAUAUUUAAUUAGUUCGUCAUUUCCUGAUAACAACUAUUUAAUAACCCAUUUAUUCAUUUUCUUUGUCAGCGGGUAGGGCUUGGGCAAAGUUCAUCAGGGCCACUCCAGGCCCAUGGAAACAAAAUAUGAAAUGGUAUCGACUCCAGGUAAGUAAUUAAGUAGUACUAGCUAGCUGUCAUCUCUUUAAUUAUCAUGCUUGAUUAAUUAUUAUAUGAUCAAAUUCCAUUCUCGUAAAGGCCCUGAAGCAGGCGCCGGGGAAUAAUCUGUGUGCAUACUACGUUUGCAAGAACAUUCGCAUGAUGGCGUCCAAAAGGAGCAGAUCUCAAAGACAGGAGUUGGUACGUUUGUCGGAACACUAUUCACAAUUUUUACACCAUUAUCGAUAUCUAGUCACACAAUUAAUACGCAUGCAUAUUGAUCUCCUUCUUAACAGUUCAAAGAGGUGCGGGAGAAGCUCCUAUCAGAGAACCGCAUAGAAGCAAUUCAAGAGGAAAUAGCGGGAUUUUUGCUCGACCAGGUCAUAGAUCCCAAGGGAGAAUACUAUUACCCGCUACCGCCCCCAUGAACCACUUCCAAUUGUUAUCGUGCUCCGAAGGCACCAAUUAGGCUAAUGCCACUGGCUUCAAAGGCAUCAAUUAUAUAUAUAUAUAUAUAUAUAUAUAUAUACAUGUGUGUAUAUAUGUGUGAAUUAAUUAAUGGUGGUUGUGAGACAUUCGAUGAUAUAUAUAUAGGGUCGCGCUAUUCGUUGCUCAGGGUGAAGAAUUGUUAUUUCUCACCCCGGCCAUCCCUAAGGAACGUGAGGAGGUAAAAUUACACCCUGAAAAAUGGAACCGGUCUAUGUUCUGGAGCUACAAAAGAAACGCAACAAACAAAGGUUUAGAUGUAAAUUUAUCUCACACACGGGUGGCCCGGUACCAAAAAAGCCUCAGCCUUGCGAGGUAAUUUUUACCUCACGCGAAAAACACCCCAUGGAUCGUGGGAGGGCUCUACAUUCUCCACACCAUCUCUACCAGGUCACCUCCACUAUCCGGACCCGUUCCUCGUGCAGCCAUAGCGGUUCUUCUCCGGAUGCCAGCGGAGCAGGUUAGUCUAUCCCUACGCUGGCGUGCCGGCUCCGGUGUCUGGGCAGAAGGGGAGGAGGUCGUCCCACAGCGGGAUACCGUCUAACGGAAGCAGCGGCGCCAAGUCUUACAGGGCCGCACUCUGCGGCGUCGACGCUCUCCACGAGCUCCACUAUUGUAUUGUCUCCUAGCCUCACCUCCCUGAUUGAAUCUGGAUCCAGAGAUUUCAUCGGCGCUGUUGAGUAGUCAUGUUCCAGUUAUCAUCGGCCUCCUCUUCAAGCUGGUCACGAUCGACCUCCUACUUAAUUGUAAGUUGUGGCUGGCUCCUUCAAACGUGGCUGCCUCCACCCCCCUAGUGACAUCCGUACCUACUUUUGAUAAACUGAAGCUUGUUUGUGUAUUCAGAGUGCAUCAGAAUUUUUUUUGUCGUGAGUUGUUAUAUAAGCAGUGGUGCUAAUUAGUGCACUCUUCAAGAAUCACUUGUCCCUGUUGUAAUGAGAGCAGAACGAGGUGCCCAUGUUAUGUGAAAUAAAAAUGCUUAUGUUAAGGUCUUAUAAGAUUAGAACAAGUCGAUGCAUGUAUCUUUUUGAAAUUAGUGACAAAGGUAUCAAUAGCUCAUUUUGUUGUGGGAGCGCCGCUGAACAUUCAACUGUUUUUUUGUGUUGUUUUUUAGAAGUUUUCAUAUAAUGUCUGAAGGCUUAAGUGAUUCUUAGUUCAUACAAUGACCUUGUUCUUGCUGCGUUUCAAUUUUGUGUGCUAAUCUGAUUUUGAGUUCUCUUGGUUUAAUUAAGAACCAGAUCAAUAUUUUCUAGGUAAAGUUGAAGCUUUAUUGAUACAGGAAACCAUUACAAUUAUUUGACGCAACACUUUCUACAGGCUCCGACACAUGCAAGGUCCAAAUAGAACCAGACCCUCAAACUCUAAUCUCAAAAAGGAAAAUUCUUUAGUUUUACAUGGUGUCACAGUGUUGCAACUGGACAUGACAGGCAACUCUUGACCAACGUGUUCCUAAAAUGCUGACUUCAGAUGUUCACUCUGACAAAUUAUUGAUGCAGAGAAAUAAUGAGCUUCUGUCAGUUUUGCAUGUUAACAAAUCUUGCUUGUUAUUAAUAUCUAUCAAUUUUCUCUGUGAGAAUUACAAUUUUGCAUAUUUCCCAACUGUAUUCUCUUGAUACGAAGGGCAUGGAUAAUACAGAUCAAAAUUUCCUUCUCUUCCGCGUGCAACUUCAGAUAUAUGUCUUUUAUACAUGUCAUUUAGCUGGUGAGAUCUGCAUCUUUGCUUUGUAGGUGGCAAGUGAAUCAAGUAAUUUAGUACGGACUAAUAAAUUGCNNNNNNNNNNNNNNNNNNNNNNNNNNNNNNNNNNNNNNNNNNNNNNNNNNNNNNNNNNNNNNNNNNNNNNNNNNNNNNNNNNNNNNNNNNNNNNNNNNNNNNNNNNNNNNNNNNNNNNNNNNNNNNNNNNNNNNNNNNNNNNNNNNNNNNNNNNNNNNNNNNNNNNNNNNNNNNNNNNNNNNNNNNNNNNNNNNNNNNNNNNNNNNNNNNNNNNNNNNNNNNNNNNNNNNNNNNNNNNNNNNNNNNNNNNNNNNNNNNNNNNNNNNNNNNNNNNNNNNNNNNNNNNNNNNNNNNNNNNNNNNNNNNNNCCACUUACGAGAACGAGCACAACCACAACCAUGUGCAGCUACUCCAUCUGUCGAUGCUUGCGUGCAAUCAGAAGCUUGACUAAAGCCGUGCCAAUGCCAGAAGAAGAUAGAAGAAUUCUGAAUCCUAAUGCCAUGGAUGGACCAUGGCAUUCAGUUGGACUUUGGUUAUUCAGUCUAACAAGAUCUGGAUAGAACUGAAAUUUGUAACGGGAAGACAGAUUUCACCAUCGUGUUAUCCUGGUAGCAAAGUGUCUUGUUCAGUGUAUCUGAGAAAAAAAAUGUUGCUUUCUUGGUCUUGGAUUCAUGCUCUGCAGUUUCCUCCGGUGUUCUACACAACAAGUUGUCUACCGGACCACAUUGUGUGUUCUACUCAUUAGCUGUAGACCACACAAAAAAUUUCCUGAGCGUUGUUGCCAAGACAUAAAAAUGACAUGACUACAUCGGUGUAACAAUGAACAAAGAUGAUCCGAGUUUACAUAAAAAUUACAGAGCAAUAAGUUUGAUUCAUUGCUUGACAAAGUAGCACGUACAAAUUCAAUCUAUAGAGAAAACUAAGUUCCUCUCGUCCUUCUCGAGAUGGGCAGUGGUUCAGCCAUGACAAACUGCGGACACUGGAUUUCGAAUUAGAGGUUACAAAACCACAUUGGAUGACCCUACAGUUUUUGCUGUAUCUCUAGUUAGCCUUUACAACAUCCACGUCUGGAUGACCCUACAGAUUCAGCAAAGGUCAUUGAAAAGGUUCCAGGGCCUGGACAAUAGUUACAUGUACACGUAUAUUGCAGCUCCUCGUGACUUCUCCGUCGUGUUUCCAAGGACAAAAAUGUAAGCUGAAAAGAGAAGCAUUAGUUUGAAAGGUAAUCUUCAUAAUCCAUCAGCCACAUGUUACAAGGAACUACAUAAAUAUUAGAAAAAAUAAAUAAAUAUUAGACAGAAAUAAAUAGACGAUUAUCUAUGGCAGUGGUAAAAAGUUCCCAAGGACAAAGAACGUAAUCAUAUUUCAAUAGAUAGCUCUGAAAAAUCCAAAGAAUGUGUUAACGAUGAACAACAACACCGACGAUUCCCUAAGCACUUGACGACAACAAUAGAUACCUCUGUAAUACACAUUCAACUGUAUGUAUAGUUUGUACUUUUUAUAGGUGCGUGUUUUGUACUCUUAGAAGUUUCUUCAUUGGCCUUCUCAAUGUACUGUGAGGUGACAAAACACUCAUGCAACCAGAAUAAUAUUUCCUGUUCAAUCCUACUAAUACAACUCGAUGCUUUACAAAAUUCCAAUAUCAUGGAGUGGAGAUACAUCAAUAGGAAGGUCUAUCAUCCGUAACACUUAUUCAACUGUAUCAUAGCUACACCACCAAAGACUAUCUAAAUGCUACCAAAAACACUCAUGUCCCCGAGAUACAUAAUUGUUCUACAAGGGGAAUUUUUUUCCUAUAGAAGUUGCAAAUAAUAAAUUGAUCAACAAUAUUAGGCAUAUAAUUACACAUUCUAAAACGGAAUACUACCUAACUUGAAAGCUGAUUACUGUCGAACUUGAUCUUCAAGCAGCUUAAUUUGCAGGUGACCAGAAAUUUUACAUCAACUUAUCUAUUCAGCAAUCUCUCCAGCGACUGAAACAUUAUUAUCCAUGGGCUGUAAGCCUGUAACCAACAUAGUAUCCUAUUAAUAGUACUGUACCCUUUAGGUUCACUUUUCUUCUAACCAAAACAUGAAUAUUUCUUCUGGUUAUUAAAGAUGAAGACAUUGCUCUGUAAUUCUCUAUCCCUCAUACAUUAACCGUCAUCCGCUUGAACAGAUACCUGAAAAACAGAAUAUUUUCAGUUCUUAGAAGUAUACGAAUAAAAGGAGGCCACCAACAAAGAAGCACAUAUAACACUUAGGGCCCGUUCGGAAGCUCUCUCGCUUCCCAAGUGGCCAGCUUCUCACGGGAGGUGAUAAGCGUUCGGCAGCAGCGGCAGAUUCUGCUCCGUCAACAUGGGCCAGAGAGGAGAGGACCCCAUAGUCAAAUCACCCUGCGAGGACGCUGGUUCGCUCCGCUCAUAUCGAAUCGUUAUGCAUGCCACUUCGGAAGGGCAUUGGGAUGUAAUAAAGAGCAACUUCUGCUCCUGGUUUUCACGAAGCUUGGGCUGGAGUAGCUCCAGAAAAUUGCACUGCGUCCAGAAUUGCUCCGCGGAGCAGGCUUCUUGAAGCUGCCGGUGUUCGGCCAGCUCCUCACCCGCUUUCGGAGAAGCGCGGAGCCGGAGCACUUCCGAACAGGCCCUUAAAGGAUUAGCAGGCUUCGGUAUCCUAAACUGGAAACAAUGUCAAAAUCAAAGAUAUCAUAGAGGGAUUUUGGAUGCACGAAAUUUAUCGGAAUCACAUGAACCCAUAACACGCUGGCUCCAUGGUAUGAAUCAAAAAUAUAGAGAGAAAUAAGAUAAACAGGCCAAACUCUGUAAUCACUGUUUCAAUGCACACUAAACCGUGUCUUUUAUCAAGUUGUGUGAGGUACAACACUGGAAGUCAUCAUAUUGAACUAGACAUUGUCUGGCACCAAAGAGUCAUCAAAAUGAAACACAUAAUUGACCAGGCACACAUAAUUACUUGCCAAAAAAGUACAUUCCAAUAUGAUUUAUGCUACAAAAAACAAACAACCUGAAUGAAAAAUGAAAAUUUAUUGUUAUAGAAGAUUUUUUUCCUGGACUAAGGGCGGGUUAAAAAAAUUAGCAAAGUUUGACAGGCUUGAUGAGGGUCAGGGUCCACCUGAUGGUAACUAAAAUAAAUCUAACUCGGCUUCCAUGAAUAUUGACAAGCUAGGAGAUGGUCCGUGUAUACCAACAAAUGUUUCCAACCAGCCACAUACAAAAAUCUAGCGUACCAUAUGGAUUCAGCCACAUUCACGAGCUAAUGUACAAAUUCUGAUAGACAAGGUAAGAGAUAUGGGGCCAACAAAAAAUAGGAGCAUGUACAAGAAAUACAUAUUCCAAACUUGCAUGCGACAUCAAUUGCAUCGCUUGUUUACAUCGACGUAAAAUAGGAGCACAUCCAGCUAUAUCCUUCUGUUCAGUGUGUAUCAACAGAUCAAAACUACAAAUAAAUAGGUGCUUAACCAUUUAUCAUUCGCCUUAAGCUCGGUGUAAAAAUGUGAGAAGCAAACCUGAGAAAGUUUAGUGUACUGCAAGUUUAUGUCGUGCUUUCACAGAAGGUUAGUGCUUCUAUGAAUUGGAUAAGGAAAACCAUAUUCUGCAUCUUGCCAUUCGCUAGUUGCUACCAUGUCUCACUACAGAGUUCUGCAGCCUCACUGUAGUGUUCAGGACGAGUCAACGUUUAAGAAAAGACACAUUCAUGUCCUUUAGCAAGAUCCUUGAAUCAAAAAGUUUAAAUUUCAAUCUAUUCAGAGGUAAGAUCAGCCCCGAUGACAGUGUUUGAAGGACUGGAAACCUAACAAAACGGUAUAGGGAGUUAGUGAGAUUGUGCAUUAAGAUAAAACUUACUUGGGCUUGAAUGAUUUGUACUUCUUAUUCGGGAGUGAUUUCUUCGUUGCUCGCAGCAUUCGUCUCGUUCUUUCAAAUUUUCUUGUGUUUUAUCCUUUAUGGUUUCCUUCAGUGCCUUCUUCUACAACAAAGCAGAUGCAACAUAAUUAAUGGGAUGACCAUCCUAAAUAUAGUAGCAGCAUCCCAACUCCACUCUAAGUGAAAACGGUUGGACAUGGCUCUUUGUUUUUCGUACUAGUGGAGCUCCAGGGAAGAAAGAAGGAACAAUUCAUCCAAAACAGAGAGGAAAAUAGGAAACAGGGCUAUCACCUUUGGCUGGAUCGAAGAAGAUACUAAUGUUGUUCCUCCGCAUCGUUGAGCUUCUCCUCUUCUUCUCCUCCUGCAUGAUUUCCACCUCCUUCAAAUGAUCCCACAAUCGAGCGAAGGUCUACUCCAUCACCCCCUCAAACACGCAAGCUCCCCUCUUUUCUUUCAUCUCCUUUCUUGGUCUACUUCCUCUUUCUUUGUCCAUCCUCAAAAAAUCAAGAACCCUAACCCUAAAAAUUCAGAAAUUCAUGGAGGAAAGGGGAAGGAAUAAGAGGAGGGAGACCUUAACGGUGAGAAUACCUCCGGCGGCGUACAGGGACGCCGGAUAAGGUCGUUGCCGUCGCCGAGCUCGCACUGUAUCGCCGCACUGCCCAAUUCGCCUCCUGAUCACUACCCCAUGAAGAGGGAAAGGGGGGAGUACUCCACGUACGAGAGGCGAGUAGCCCUUGUCUCCGGGUCGUCCCUCCGGCACCAUCGCCGUCACUGCCGCCGCCUCGACAAUCGUCGGAGAGGACGGUCCGGGGAGAGAGGGACGGUGUCGAGCCCAUCCGCACUAAAGUGAAACCGCCCGUAGCUGAUUAGAAAGGAUAUAGGUGUUGGGGAGUGGGCUCCUCCUACGGUCCUACUGUACCAGUCAAGCGCUCCUACAAACAUAAAUUUACAGCAGUGGAACAUAAUUUUACAUCGGUCAAGAUUUGCUCCGACCGUGGCUCGGUUGAUGGACUGGGGUGAAGAAUUACUUAUUCUUCACCCUGGGUUAUUAAUAGNNNNNNNNNNNNNNNNNNNNNNNNNNNNNNNNNNNNNNNNNNNNNNNNNNNNNNNNNNNNNNNNNNNNNNNNNNNNNNNNNNNNNNNNNNNNNNNNNNNNNNNNNNNNNNNNNNNNNNNNNNNNNNNNNNNNNNNNNNNNNNNNNNNNNNNNNNNNNNNNNNNNNNNNNNNNNNNNNNNNNNNNNNNNNNNNNNNNNNNNNNNNNNNNNNNNNNNNNNNNNNNNNNNNNNNNNNNNNNNNNNNNNNNNNNNNNNNNNNNNNNNNNNNNNNNNNNNNNNNNNNNNNNNNNNNNNNNNNNNNNNNNNNNNNNNNNNNNNNNNNNNNNNNNNNNNNNNNNNNNNNNNNNNNNNNNNNNNNNNNNNNNNNNNNNNNNNNNNNNNNNNNNNNNNNNNNNNNNNNNNNNNNNNNNNNNNNNNNNNNNNNNNNNNNNAACCUUUUAAUACCGGUUGGUGUCACCAACCGGUACUAAAGGGCUCCCUGCCCCCGAAGCUGGCUCGUGCCACGUGGUUGCCCUUUAGCAGCGGUUCAUGCUGAACCGGUACUAAAGGGGGGCCUUUAGUGCCCACACUUUAGUGCCGGUUACCGAACCGGCACUAAAGGGCCUUACGAACCGGUGCUAUUGCCCGGUUCUGCACUAGUGAUCAUUGGCCCCUCAACAUAUAGUUGGGAUCUAUGUGAGGAAUAACUGUAUUACCGUCAAUACCUCAAGCCCCUCACAUGGAAAGUUAUUCAAGGCCAGUAUGCUGAUUCAAUGAGAAACAUUUCCAGGCAUUAGGGGGAGAAUUCAAGUACCAUAAAGAAUGACAGGAAAUUAGUGGAAUGUUCAACACAUUUCUGCCUCAGAUCCACAUACUCAAAGAUCUGAACCAUGCGUUCGGAAGAUUUGCAAUACAUUGCGAAUAAUCUGCCAUAUUCAUUUACUAACUAUAAAGGUGUCACACAAUCCUACAAUCCUGCAAAAGUACGCCUAAAAAAGUGGAGGUACCAACAAAAUCCACUCCACUCCCCGUUCAAAGCAACAGGAGGAGAUGUAUGGCAGAAGUACAGCAGGAUUCAGCUUCUCGCAAGUAAGGAUAUCAAGGCUUGUGAAUCAGUAAAUGCAAGUCAACUUCACGUUGACAGACACCUAAUGGGUAGUAUACACCCGGUGGACGGGAAACCUCCACCAACCCAUGUCAUAGUGCACACAAUGACCGGGAUAUCGGAAUACCCGACUCAAUCGCAUUGGGAAAUCGCGAGCAGUCACCAUGGGUAACGAUAUUUCCAUCAACUAUAUAUUCAUAUAUAGAUUCUGGAGAAUCAUAUAACCGGAAGUCUGCAAUUGUCGACGUACAUUUCUCAACUAGAUUGCAAAACCUUUCAUAUGAUUCAGAUCCAAAGACCAUGGCCAUGGCAAAGUGUGAACAACACUCGGACUGAACUCAAGCAAAGGGUAUAAUCUAGAUAGAAAUAAUCUUGCUCAAUAAAUGGGAAGGUAUUCAUAAGCAAUACCUACACCAGUUUUCUUCUGGAAACGGAAUUUAGAACAAUGAGAUGGUGAAACAUAGAGCAAGUAUUGUAGCACAAGGGUUCACGCAGAUACCCAACUAUUCUCCAGAGGUGGAAUCUCUUUCCGAUAACUUACAUCAUUGGCAAUACAAAGUCAUGCAAUUGAUAGAUGUAGUGAUUACAUAUACAUGUGGAUCUCUAGAUUCAAACAUAGAUGGUUCCCAAUGGAGUCUCACUUCUGAAUCGAAAUGCAAAACGCAACAUACAAUGUGUAAAAUCAAUAAAUCACCAUAUGGCUAAUUAUUGUCGUUACAUUUGAUACAACCGACGUAGUGAGUUCCUUAUUCACAAGGAUUACUCCUAAAUUAAUGAUUAUCCAUGCAUGAUCGUCAUAUGCAAGGAUUACUCCUACAAUGACGAAUCGUGUGAUGAUCUAAAUGACAGAAUUUGAGAUGAAGGAUUUGGGUAAACCUCGAGCGCCUUCACUCAUGCAUUAUGGUACACCAUGUUGUCUAUAUCCAGAAUAUAUUGGAGAAAUCCAUUGUGGACAAAUAUUAUCCAUCCGCAACUCUCAUGGCAGAUCUUUCUCUAGACGUAGAGAAAGAUCUAUUUAGACCGAGAGAUGAUGGAAACGAGAUAUUGGGACUCAACGUUCCAUAAUGUCAUUGGAUCCACCAAACACAGUUGGUCGGGACUCAAGAAUAUCUUUUGAUAUCUAAGGCAUCAAACAUCUAGUCCUGGGUUUUCAAUUUCAGAGAAAUCUGAACACCAAUAUCAUUGGAUACAUUAAUCAGAUCCCCACCAUGUCAGAUCAUAGACAAGCUUAGUAUUAAUACUACAUCCACCGAUCAUUAUCUCAAAGAUAAUGUUACUUGUGUUCGUCCGGAUGCAAACACAUUAUGAAGCAAGCAAUAUCACUAUAUUGCUCAUCUUGCAAGUCAAAUCAUACAACAAACUUCUACAUUUGUUCACAAAGUCUCUACCAACUUCGGCAUCCAGAAAAUAUUCUUGGAAUUGGUAUUCGACGGCUUUGAGAUAUGCAAGAAUCAGGGGGAGUAUCUUCCUGAAUUACUCUUGUUCAAUGCAUCAUAUUAUACUCUUUUUCCCUUUAUGACUUUACUUCACAUGUUCUCAUUAAGGUUUUUAAUGAGGUAAUAUUAACACAAGAUCAUAUGUCAUAUUUUCUAUUUUCCCCACUGGGGUUUUUAAGAAAGUAUAUACGACAUAUUUAUUGUCCUCUUAAUUCUAUGGGUUUUCCUCAUAUCGAGUUAAAACAGACAAUAAACAUUAUGUGUUGCGGCAUUUUCUUCUUAUUUUUCCCACUGGAUUUGAAGGAGUUUUGGCAACAUAUCAAACACUAUACUCCUCAUAUUUUUCUCACAGGGUUUUUGGAGGAGACUCUAAUCAAGAUGAUGAUUCUGGAUGGACACUCGUUGUCCCCCUUGCUUGGCUCUUCCUCUAACCGGUUGUUGUGUAACAAGUGAGUAGGGCCCAGUAGAAGGCCCAUGAAUUUUUCUCAUCAACUUGAUGAAUUAAUUUUAAGAUAUAGGACUUCCCUAUUAGAACAGGUUGCUCAAAGGGGUCGCCUGUUCUUCCUGUUAAGAAUAAAGCAACGUCAUUAGCACUAAGAGUCGUCACGUGUGUCCAAAGCGCCGUACGGACGCGAACGUCCGUACAGGUGUCUUCUUGCGCCACAGGCGCCUGUUGUAAACGGACGCCUCUCCAGAGGUGCCCCAAAUCCUUGUAUAAAUGGGGCUUUGCCCAGAAUCAAUAGAACACAAGUUUUUCAUCAAAUCUUUGCAUGUUAUCAGCCACGCUAGCCUCGGCCAACAAAGCACGAACAAGAAGAGACGAGAAGGUAAGAUGGCAGGUAUGAACCUGCAUAGAAUCACCUCUGCCCUUGUUCGAUUCAUUGGACGGGAGAUCCGUCGAUCUGCCAGACGCCACAGUGCUGGUGCUCCUCGACAUUGGGGCCCAGGCAACAGUCGCCGUGGUCGUCGUGGUCGCCGUGGUCGUCGGGAGCACCCUGGCCCCGCCGCCGCAGAACAGGCAGGACCAAGCAACUCAUCUGUCGCCGUCCACCAUGCCUACCAGGCACCCCCGAUGCCGGCCUUCGUCACUCCGCCAAUGGACUGGGCUCCCGCCGAGGCUGCAGCCUCGUUCCUGGGCGAGGAGGAGUUCUUCAACGCCGCCCAGGCCUCGCCACCGCCAGGGGUCUUCUUCGGCAAUGGCAUGGACGCAGGCGUGGCCUUCUGUCUAGUGCACGGAUAUGGCCCUUGCCCGGCCCGCGAUUUCUGCCCCGUGCACGGGUACGGGCCGUGCCUGAGGGAGUCCUGGAUUAGGGGGUGUUCGGGUAGCCGGACUAUACCUUCAGCCGGACUCCUGGACUAUGAAGAUACAAGAUUUAAGACUUCGUCCCGUGUCCGGAUGGGACUUUCCUUGGCGUGGAAGGCAAGCUUGGCGAUGCGGAUAUUCAAGAUCUCCUACCAUUGUAACCGACUCUAUGUAACCCUAACCCUAUCCGGUGUCUAUAUAAACCGGAGGGUUGUAGUCCGUAGGCAAUCAACUCCAUAUACAACAAUCAUACCAUAUGCUAGCUUCUAGGGUUUAGCCUCCUUGAUCUCGUGGUAGAUCUACUCUUGUGCUACCCAUAUCAUCAAUAUUAAUCAAGCAGGACGUAGGGUUUUACCUCCAUCAAGAGGGCCUGAACCUGGGUAAAACAUCGUGUUCCCUGCCUCCUGUUACCAUCCGGCCUAGACGCACAGUUCGGGACCCCCUACCCGAGAUCCGCCGGUUUUGACACCGACAUUGGUGCUUUCAUUGAGAGUUCCUCUGUGUCGUCUCCUUUAGGCCCGAUGGCUCCUUUGAUCAUCAACAACGAUGCGCUCCAGGGUGAGACUUUUCUCCCCGGACAGAUCUUCGUCUUCGGCGGCUUCGCUCUGCGGGCCAAUUCACUCGGCCACCUGGAGCAGAUCGAAAGCUACGCCCCUGACCAUGAAGUCAGGUUUGGAAGCUUAAACUACACGGCUGACAUCCGCGGAGACUUGAUCUUCGACGGGCUCGAGCCACGGCCAAGCGCGCCGCACUAUCUCGAGGGGCAUGAUCUAGCUCUGCCCCCGGACAGUGUCCUGGAGGCAGCACACGCAUCGGUUUCGACCCCUAACUCGGAGCCUAUUGCGCCAAUCGAGGAUGAGCGGUUGGACGUCACCUCGGGGGCUGCGAUCCCGAAAGCGAUCGAGCCGAAUGCUAGCCCCGCACUCUGCACGACCCGUGACUCCAAGGAUCCGGACUCCUCCCCGGACUCCAAACCCCCCGCGCCCCUGCCAAUCGAAUCCGAUUGGGCGCCGAUAAUGGAGUUCACCGUCGCAGACAUCUUUCAGCACUCACCUUUUGACGAUAUCCUGAACUCUCUCAAGUCUCUCUCCUUAUCAGGAGAGCCCUGGCCGAACUACGGUCAGCGAGGAUGGGAUACGGACGAUGGAGAAAUUCAAAGCCCACCCACCACCUACUUGGUAGCCACUGUCGACAAUUUAAACGACGUGCUCAACUUCGACUCCGGAGACAUCGACAGCAUGGAUGACGAUGCAGGAGAUACCGACGAACCAACGCCCAUAGGGCAUUGGACAGCCACCUCAUCUCACGAUGUGUACAUGGUGGAUACCCCUAAAGGAAACAACAACGAGGAAAAAGGAGAUGGGACGGGAGAUCGACCCCCCGAAAAGCAAUCAAAGCGUCGGCGUAAACACUGACCCAAGCCCCGCCUCGACAAAAACCCAACCAUAGAGCAGGACGAGCCGGUAGACGACGAGCAGGCCUUAGAGCAACCAUCUGAACAGGGCAACACGGAUAGAGAAACCGAACAUCCCUCCUCCGGCAAAAACGGCAUUCCGGACGACCUCCCGUCGGAUAAACCUAUGGAGCAGAAGAAUCUCCACGAGAGGCUCGUUGCAACUGCACGCAGCCUAAAAAAGCAUAAGCGGAAGCUAAAAACAGCGGAAGAUGCACUCCGGAUUAGAUGGAGCAAAAUAAUCAAUACCGCAGAUAAAUACGGCGACAGUCGGCGCACUAAAAGCUAUCCAAAAAGAAAGCUACUGCCUGAAUUCGACGAAGAGGCCCUAGAGCCCUCGCAUUCAAAAAAUGAGAAAGCCACACGGUCGGAUAGACGACCCCAUAAAGCGACAAGCGGCGCCGCACCUAGAUCGGCAUGCGACCCACUUAAGGAUUCGCAUCAUGGCCCAGUUAGGUCCAUUUAUGGGCCAAGAAAGCAAGCUCUCAUAAGCAAUGCUAUGAAGCCAUCAUCAGAAUCCGGCACACCCAAGUACAGGGGCGCCGCACACCCCCUAUGUUUCACCGAUGAGGUCCUGGACUAUGAAUUUCCAGAGGGAUUCAAACCCGUAAACAUAGAGGCAUAUGAUGGAACAACAGACCCCGGAGUUUGGAUCGAGGAUUAUAUCCUCCACAUACACAUGUCUAGAGGAGAUGAUCUCCACGCCAUAAAAUAUUUACCCCUUAAGCUUAAAGGACCAGCCCAGCAUUGGCUUAAAAGCCUUCCUGAAAACACAAUUGGAAGCUGGGAAGAGCUCGAGGAUGCUUUCCGAGCAAACUUUCAAGGGACCUAUGUCCGCCCUCCGGAUGCAGACGAUCUUAGUCACAUAACUCAACAACCCGGAGAAUCAGCUCGGCAGUUCUGGAAUAGAUUCCUCACUAAAAAGAAUCAGAUAGUCGACUAUCCGGACGCCGAAGCCUUAGCAGCUUUCAGGCAUAACGUCCGAGACGAAUGGCUCACCAGACACCUCGGCCAAGAAAAGCCAAGAACAAUGGCCGCACUAACAAGCCUCAUGACCCGCUUUUGUGUAGGGGAGGACAGCUAGUUGGCAAGGUGCAGCCCCAGCGACCCAAGUACAUCCGAAACUAGGGAUGGAAAUGGAAAACCGCGACGCAACAAGGACCGUCGUUGGACUAAGGACAAAAGUCCGAAGAGCACGGCANNNNNNNNNNNNNNNNNNNNNNNNNNNNNNNNNNNNNNNNNNNNNNNNNNNNNNNNNNNNNNNNNNNNNNNNNNNNNNNNNNNNNNNNNNNNNNNNNNNNNNNNNNNNNNNNNNNNNNNNNNNNNNNNNNNNNNNNNNNNNNNNNNNNNNNNNNNNNNNNNNNNNNNNNNNNNNNNNNNNNNNNNNNNNNNNNNNNNNNNNNNNNNNNNNNNNNNNNNNNNNNNNNNNNNNNNNNNNNNNNNNNNNNNNNNNNNNNNNNNNNNNNNNNNNNNNNNNNNNNNNNNNNNNNNNNNNNNNNNNNNNNNNNNNNNNNNNNNNNNNNNNNNNNNNNNNNNNNNNNNNNNNNNNNNNNNNNNNNNNAACACGGACGAUCCAUCCAACCUAAAUAAAAUCCUGGACAGGAUAUGUCAGAUACACAGUACUCCCGGGAAGCCUGCUAACCAUACCCACAGAGACUGUUGGGUUUUCAAACAAUCCGGCAGACUCAAUGCCGAACACAAGGGGCUCGACACACCAAGCGAAGACGAGGACGAACCCCAAAAGUAGAGCACCGGGAAACAAAAGAACUUUCCACAAGAAGUAAAAACAAUGAACUUACUUCACAUAACAAAACGUGCGGCGCCCAUAAAGGUACGCACCACACGACCUAUCCCCAAAGGGUCCCGCCACUGGUUGUCAAAACCAAUCAUCUUCGAUCAGCUAGAUUAUUCUAGAAAUAUCAAGAAUGCAGGCUGGACUGCCUUCAUACUCGAUCCAAUAAUUGGCGGACUCCGGUUUUCAAAUGUCCUUAUGGACGGCGGCAGUGGACUAAACCUGAUAUAUCAGGAUACAAUCCAUCACAUGGGGAUAAACCCAGCAAGAAUCCGCCACAGCAAAACCUCCUUUCAAGGGGUAACACCUGGUCCGGACACCCAUUGUAUGGGUUUUCUCCGGCUCGAAGUUAUACUCGGCUCUGCCGAUAACUUCCGCCGCGAAAAGUUGACCUUCCAUAUCGUCCCGUUCUCAAGUCGCUAUCAAGCACUACUGGGACGCGAAGCUUUCGCCCGCUUUAACGCAAUACCGCAUUAUGCAUCUCUAACGCUUAAGAUGCCCGGUCCACGAGGCAUCAUCUCUUUGAAUGGGAAGCACUAAAGUGCGCCUCCCCAAGCGGAGGACUGUGCGGCCGCUUUGACAGCCCCACAGUAAAAUGGCCUCACCGGCCAAAAAACUUCGAAAUAGGUCAUUAAAGACCACGAACGCGGAUAGACGAGUUUGGGACAAAAUCAUCAUUGAUGCAGGCUUAGUGGCCAUAUACCCCCACUAGGGGCUCCAUGCAUAUACAAUAAGAGACAAUAAAGCUCAAUUUUAUAUAUUUUACUUUAUACUUUGUUUAUUUUAAACUUUUGUUCAGCAUGACCCGUUUUCAACUCAGUUCCUCUCUUUUACAGAUGAACGUCGUGCGGCGCCCGUCCAAGAUACGGCACAACGGAGACACAGGCGCAGACGUGCAGUAGGGACCCAUCCUAAAGGAUUCUUUUUAGAUUAAGACCCUGCGUAAACCUUUUUUACUGUCUCUUGUUGCUACACAUCCCCUGGUUCUUUCUGACAUAACCAAGGAGGCUGGCGUCUUGGCAUGUGGCCACGUCAGAAUUUUUGCAUGUACCUGGACACUAGGGGCUUUUUUAAUAAAGAGUGUUGUUUCGCCCGCACUCAUAAAGACCGAACACCUUAGGGAGUGUUCGGCGUCGCGAGUUUUGGCAUUAUAUGCAUCAGCUCCGAAUCAUGUCUUUGGUCAAAUGUUGGGUUGCCCGGCUCCUGAGUUCCGCUACCUUACGUUCCGCUCUAUCGGCUAAGGUAGCACCAGGAGAACUACUACGAUUGUGCCCCGGUUCGGCCGGGCGAGCACCUCAGUAGAGAAAGCCGAAAACUGACUGUCAUGAUGUAGCGUGAGACUGGUCAGUCACUCGAUGACCUAUCGGAAUCUAUUGGAUUCCUCCGCUUUAACGAAGGGCCGCUUUCCGGUCAGGCACAUACGCGCCCCGAACUCGGGCGAGCGCAGUCGCCACCAAGGGGCUACCUAAAUAGUCCCACUGUCAAGCUCCUAUGGCUAAGUGAAAGUAUUAAAGCAUUAUAGUCCGGUUGCCUGGCCCGCUGCGCUAUCACCUCCUUUGUAGGACCAAGACGUUGGGUUAAGUGUGAAAAUGCGUCUUCUGCGAGCACCCCCGCACUAUGUGCGUGGGGGCUGAAGCCAACGACUGCCAUCUUUCAGAUUUUGUAUAUAUAUAUCUUAAAACGGCCGCACAGGAGGUGUUCCCAAUACUUGAAGGCACAAGUAUAAAAAGGCCACUACUGUUUAUCAAAAUAUUACUUUAUAAUUACAUAUGCUAUCAUAACAUAGCAUCUUUCGAGCAUUGCGUCUCUAUUACACGGGCGCCUUCAAGGACUUCCUGAAAAUAGUGCUCGAAGGAUACUCGGCUUUUGUCCGAAUCUCGGGACGCAACAACGGUGGUCUCCAUCUCUGCCCAGUAUGUCUUGACACGGGCAAGAGCCAUCCUUGCGCCCUCUAUGCAUGCUGACCUCUUCAUUGCAUUAAUACGCGGCACCGCGUCAAGGAAUUGCUGCACCAAGCUGAAAUAACUCUUCGGCUCCGAUCUCCCCGGCCACAGAUGACCCAUGACGUACUUCAUGGCGAGUCCAGACAACCUAUUCAGUUCGGCCCAUUGAGCCAAACGAUCGUCCACUGCCAGUGGACGCUCUGGAUUGUGAAACUGCGACCAGAAAAGCUUUUCCACUUCGCGAUCUUUUUGAUCACGAAAGUGUUCGGUCGCAUCAGCAACACUCGCUGCCAGAUCCAGAUAGGUAUCCUCCACACUCCACAUCCGGUCCAACGGAGCAAACUUCGGAUUGCAAAAUUUCCUUCGCAGCAUAAAGGCCUUUCCAGCAGCAAUCUGUUCGGCCUGACGCAGCUCCUCCUUCGCAGCUCUCAUCACAGAGCGCGCGUCCUUGGCAUUGGCAACGGCCUUCUCUAAGUCUGUCUGUUUCGCCUGGUCUUCUUUCUCAAGAAGUCUGCAACGGUCUACAGCACUCUUUAACUUUUCGGCCAUCUCGGCCAUCUCUUCCUUGCUUCGGCAAUGAGCAGCCUAUUCGGCUCUCAGCUCUUCAAGGGCUUUCUUGGCAGCCGCAUCACUUUCUCUGGCUUGAUCUUUAGCUCGAGCAAGUUCUGCCCUAAGACUCUCCACGGCGACCGCACCAUCUGCGUCAAGCACACACAUCGUAAGACACUGGCAUAAAACUCUUCUUACCUAAUGCCGCCCGAGGAAUUACAUACCUUGAGCCUCAUCAAGCCGCUUGCUGACAAGCGCGAUGUCGGCAUCUGCCACGUCCAGUUGCCGCUUUAGUUCGGCAAAAUCAUCAGUUCGGCUCGAUUCCGGACACCCUGCCACCUACAUUCAAAGGUGACAUCUUAGACUUGGGAUUAUGAUCUUCCGCGUGCCGUCAUUUCUUGACGAAGCGCAGAGUCUCAGGGGCUACUAUCUACACAGGGUGCAUCUUAUUCAUGCGCAACUGACAAAAGUGUACAUUAUCUAAUGUACCUCAAAACCCGUCAGUAAACUUUUGACGGCCUCAUGCAAUCCACUCUCUACGGAUGAGAUCCUUUCAAUCAUCGUGCCCAUCAAUGCACGGUGCUCCUCCGAGAUAGAAGCUCGCCCCAGCAGAAUCUUUAGCUCCUCCGGCCGAGCACCAGACGGUUCUGGACUUGUCCCACGACCUCUUUCGAAGGCCGGACGCGGAGAACCUCGGGGGGGCACAUAGCUAUCUUCCGCCCCUGACGGAUUCGGAGAAACCCUCCGCGACGAUACCUCAGGAUCGCCCGCCUCGCUAGGCGGCACGGCAGGGGGAGGCGUCCCGCUCUCCAUCAUCUCCGUAAGGAGAUCCCCCGAAGACGAGCUCUGCUGAGAAGGGCUGAGGUCUGAGCUACAAGGUAAAAAUUCGGUUAAUCUUCUCAGAUAUAAAUCAAGGAUUUCCCUCAUCCCUCAAAAGGAAAAUCUUUCUCUACUUACGGCUCGCUGGAGGGCUGAUCCCCUUGAGGGCGUAGUCCGGCCGAGGAACUCCCCGGCGCCGGACCCUCUGACGAGGAUUUUCUCCCCCGCUUCGAGGCCAUGGUUUCCGGGUCGUCAGAGGCGGCUCUCUUCUUCCCCUUAGGAGAGGAAUUGUCGGUUCCUCCCUUCGGAGCAGCCUCCUUCGAGGAGGCCAUAGCUUCCUUGUCCUCCCCCUCCAAAGGCAUUAUCUCCAGCAUCCUGACUAGCACAGGAUCCGGCCUGGUUUCAGGAAGGGGAGCCGGACACCUGAUCAGCUUUGCCUUCGCUAUCCACUCCUGUUUAAAAGGACGGCUCUUUUAGGGGCAAGUUUAUGAAAAUUAUACGGAUAGAAGGUCCGGGCACAAGGUUGCUUACUUGAGUAUCCGGGCGAUUGCAGCUUAGGCCUGCGUCCUCGGUUAAAUCCAGACACAUCCCUUGUGAUCCGAAGAACAGUUUAUACAUCUCCGCGGGCGUUGCACCCAUGAAAUUUUGGAGAGCUCGCGGUCCCUCUGGGUUAAACUCCCACAGGCGAAGGGAGCGACGUUUGUCGGGCAAUAUUCGGCGAAUUAGCAUGACCUGCAUCACCUUGACCAGGCUGAGGUCUCCUUCCAAGAGAUCCUUAAUGCGGCCCUGUAACAAGGGCACGUCUUUGGGCAAACCCCAAUCUAACCCUCUGUUAAUCCAUGACGCUAGCCGUGGUGGGGGACCCGAGCGAAAGGCAGGAAGCGCCACCCACUUGGUGCUCCGGGGAGUGGUGAUAUAAAACCACUCUCUUUGCCACAAGCCUAGCUCCUCUUGAAAAGAGCCCUCGGGCCAUGGAGCAUCAGCAUUUUUGCUUAUAACAGCGCCUCCGCACUCUGCGUGCCGUCCCUUGAUCAUCUUCGGCUCCACUUCGAAAGUCUUGAGCCAUAAUUCGAAGUGAGGGGUAACACGGAGGAACGCUUCACAUACGACGAUAAACGAGGAGAUAUGGAGGAUGGACUCCGGAGCUAAGUCGUGAAAUUCCAGCCCGUAAUAAAACAGCAGUCCCCUCACAAAGGGAUCCAUUGGGAAGCCUAACCCCCGAAGGAAGUGAGACACGAACACUACGCUCUCACCGGGCUGGGGACUAGGGAUAGCCUGCCCUUGAGCAGGCAACCUAUGCGAAAUUUCGGCGGUCAAGAACUUAGCCUCUCUCAACUUUAGCACGUCCUCCUCCGUGACGGAGGAGGGCAUCCAUCGGCCUUGAAGGUCGGAACCGAACAUUGUCGAAGGUCUGAGGCGCCCGGAAUCUGGAGCCUAGGGUAUUGGAACUCGAGGCGACGGGCGAACUCGUUUUGGGAUUGGAGAAAAGGAGUAAGGCCCUGGUCUCUUUAUAAGAGGUUGAAUACCAAGAGCCCUCCCCGUAACUGUUUGGGACUCGCCUUUAAUCGAGAAAACAUGCUAACGGGCACAAUUGGGUUACCCACGUCCGUAUUGAUGAGAAUCCCGUAAAAGGGAGGCACACGAUCUCUGCUUUGACAAGACGUGCCAAGGAAACUGCCUCGCAAAAUACGCUGAGGUGGAAAGGUGAAAUCGAUUCGAGUAAAGGACUUGGCUGUAGUGUGAUGACGCACUGCGGAAUACGUCAGCAGAUUUGAUUUUUGUUAAUAUUAUUCUCUCUAUGGCAAUAUGUGAAAGCUUAUUUUGCAGAGCCGGACGCUACUCUUGGUGUUUACAAUCUUCUAUGAAGGACUUGGAGGAGGAACCCGCCUUGCAAUGCCAAAGACAAUUUGCGCGCCGGACUCGUCGUCAUUGAAGCCUGGUUCAGGGGCUACUGAGGGAGUCCUGGAUUGGGGGUGUUCGGGUAGCCGGACUAUACCUUCAGCCGGACUCCUGGACUAUGAAGAUACAAGAUUGAAGACUUCGUCCCGUGUCCGGAUGGGACUUUCCUUGGCGUGGAAGGCAAGCUUGGCGAUGCGGAUAUUCAAGAUCUCCUUCCAUUGUAACCGACUCUAUGUAACCCUAACCCUAUCCGAUGUCUAUAUAAACCAGAGGGUUGUAGUCCGUAGGCAAUCAACUCCAUAUACAACAAUCAUACCAUAGGCUAGCUUCUAGGGUUUAGCCUCCUUGAUCUCGUGGUAGAUCUACUCUUGUACUACCCAUAUCAUCAAUAUUAAUCAAGCAGGACGUAGGGUUUACCUCCAUCAAGAGGGCCCGAACCUGGGUAAAACAUCGUGUUCCCUGCCUCUUGUUACCAUCCGGCCUAGACGCACAGUUCGGGACCCCCUACCCGAGAUCCGCCGGUUUUGACACCGACAGUGCCCUUCACCACCGGCCACUCCACCGGAACCGGAGGUCAUCGAUGAGCCGCUCGCCUACCCGAACCUCCCAACGCGUACUCCCGCCGACGAAGACGAGGAGCACUUCGCCCCUCCAGGCUAUGGCCCUGUGCCCACCAUGAUGGAGUGGGAGGUGACACCGAACGAAGAGGAGGAGCAGUGGCUCAACUCCGUUGUGAAGCCGGAGCCAACCACGUCGGCGGAGACCGACGAACCCGGAGCCACAUCCCCGACCUCAACACUGCCACUGGCGGGAAGAUCGAGGAAGCGGCGUCGUCUUCCAAGGCCCCAGCAUCUCCACCGCCUCCGCCCCCGGCAAGCCCGCGAACACCCCCACCGACGGCUCACCGGAUCCUUCGCCGUUUCACGGCGGCGCUGGAGCAGCACCGCCCCGGCCUCCGCUCCGGCUCCUGGGCCCCUGCAGGCCUCCACCUCCCCGGCUACGCUGCGGGGGGGGCACCCUCCUCCUAAAGAUCGCCGGCGCUAGGCGCCAUCGGCGGCGGCCGGCGGGAUCCCGUGAAGGUGGUGGUGGAAUGGGGGGAAUUGACCCCAACCGCCCCACCUCUCGUCCCCCUUAUCCGCUUGAUGUCUCCAUCAGCGGCGCCGCCAUGGGCCUGGGCUGAAAGGCCUCGUGGGCUGUGGCCCAUGUUGCAACGACCAGAAAAAAAACCAAUGGGUUAUAGGCUAGAUUGCAGAAAAAUCCUUAUAUUAUCAGGGAUUUCAUGCAUUAGUCCAACUACUAGUACUAAUUUAGUGCUUGUCAUGUUUUAGCCCCGUAAAUUUGGGAAUUCGCAGAUAGGUUCAACUACUAGUGCUAUAAUUAAGUACUUGUCAUGUUUUAGACCUUGUAUCUCGAUGUGAUUAUAUAUUGUACUCAAUUAAAUUGUGUAUUGAUGUUUAGACCAUAUUAUUUCUAUAAAUCAUUAUAUGUUCAAUGUGUUUGCAAUUUGCAAUCCCUAUAACAUGUACAAAUGGUACAAUAAUAUUAUUUUGCAAUUAAAAAUCAUUUAUUCUUGCAACUCAAAUAUUAAUUCGCCAUCAAUUAAGUCCAAAAAUGCCUAUGUAGCACAAAAAUAGACUUAAUUCGAAUAGAAUUUAUACAAAGUUCAAGUCUUUACUUGAAUUCACAACAAUUGCAAAAUUUAUUACAACAUGACCAUGAUGAUUUUAAUUUACAUACAAGUAAAUUGAUCGAUUAUCUGGUUCUCAAUCUUGUAGGACAAAAUGACCGUCAAAGAAUUUGAAGAGCUUGCGCUCGACGGACACAACUAUCCUACAUGGGCUAUGGAUGUUAAAAUCAGUCUUUCAUCCCAUGGAAUUGCAGCUGCACACAUACCUCCUGCAGACCCUCCCCAAGAGGGAAUUGCACAAUUAAACAAACAACAACAAUAUGCUGCUUUAUACAUAAUAAGGCACCAUAUCCAUCCAGAUCUGAAAUCUAAAUAUUUGAUGGAGGAAUCUCCAAGCAAUAUGUGGCAAUCACUUAAAACUAGAUAUGAACAGCAAAAGGCAGUUAUACUUCCCGAAGCUAGUCAUGAGUGGACCCAUUUAAGACUCCAAGAUUUCAAAUCGAUCGGAGCUUAUAAUCAUGAGGUUCAUAAAAUUUGCUCAAAGUUGCGGUUUUGCGAGAAGGAGCCUACAGAAGCAGAUAAGAUAGAAAAGACUCUAUCCACUAUGCUCCCAGCUGACAGGAUCCUACAGCAACAAUAUCGUGCCCGCAAUUAUACAGUUUACUCUGAACUUAUACAUGUGCUCCUCCAGGCUGAGAAACACGAUGAACUUCUGCUAAAGAAUAGUAAUCAACGCCCAGUUGGGGCCGCUCCUCUGCCUGAAGUACAUGCAAAUUUUCAGAAAAAUACCAAGUUCAAUGGUUCUUUCAAAGGUCAAAACAAGAACUUCAAGGGUAAGAGCAACCACAACAAGAAGAACAAGCCACAAAAUUCAGACAAGGGGAAGGGCAUAACAAAGAAUAAGUUUGAUAAAACUAAACUUUGCCAGAAAUGUGGAUGCUACAAGCAUGUCACCAAAAAAUGCCGCACCCCAAGACAUCUGGUAAACCUCUACCUGCAAUCCAUGGGACGUAACAGACCUGCCCAAGGAGCAAGAUAUGAAGCUCACUUCAAUCUUCAACCUGAUAACAAGAAGGAAGCUGGUUGUUCGCAAGAUGUUCGAGGAGCACCAAGUAACAACAAGGAAUUCCAUAUAUCACGGGACUCCAUGGACACGGAGAAUAUGAUGACCGAAUACACCGCCGACAUGUUCGGGGACUUUGACUAGUCAAUUGAGCAACAAAAAUACAAGCUCCAGUAAAUGAUUUUUGUUUUACACAAUGCCUCAGGUUUGUCGAUUGUUGUCUUUUCUCGAGAGGUUCUCCCUUUAACAGGGGCUCGAGCAUCCAUUUUGCAGACAAAAACAUCAUUGGCAAGAAGGAGAGCCUUGGCGCAGUGGUAAAGCUGCUGCCUUGUGAUGCAACACAGUUCACAAAAGAUGCAGAAAAAAAUGUAUCAACAAAUAGAACAAGGCGGAAUCUGUUAAAAGACACAGGAAGGAUUGGGAAGAACCAUCAGCAGCAAAUCCUUUCAACUCAACAUAAUACAGUCCGCAUCUUGGUAGGAUCGCUCACAGGCAACCCAGCUGGAAACAUUUUCUCAAAAAACACUUGAUGUCGAUGGCAAAAUUUGCAGACAAACAAAUUUGAAAAUACAAGUAUUUAUCCUUGAGGCGGCUCAGAUGUCAAAUGGGUUGUAAGUUUCUUUAUCAGCACAAAGAGAUAAAAAUCUCUUCAGAGUGGUGCAUGACUUUUCUCAUCAUAGCCUUUUGCUUCCACAGAGCAUCCAUUUGCAGACAGAAUCAUCAUCGGAAAACCAACUAAUUCAGAUGAAAUGCAACAAGGUUCACGAAACCAGAUACUGAGCUGCAGAGGGGGAAAACACAGGUAUCAGAUGAGGGCACUCCAUAUGUUUAGACUGACCCAUUCAAAAUAGGAAGGAGAAAUCCGUUCAGGAUAGGGGGGUUGGAAAUAAGAAGAAGUUAGGAAGGGGGAUCGGAAAGAGGACCCAUCAGCGGCAAAUGUAUCUGACCUUAAUGUAAUUUCAGUAAGCAUCAUCUUAGGACCGCUCAUAGGCUACCCUCGUCAUUUGCUUCUGUACAUUAUCCCUAAAAUCCAGUUAACCUUCAAGACUUCUAUUUUCAAACUACAGAAUUUACCUGAAGGCAAAAGCUGGAAACAAUUCCUAAAAACAAAUAGACGUCUACGUCGAAAAUAUAGGAUAAAAAAUCAGAAAAUACAAAAUAUGUAUCCAUGAGGUGGCUCAGAUUUACAAUGGGUUGUAAAGUUUGUUUAUCAGCACAGAGAUAAAUCUCUUCAAAGUGGUUCAUGACUUUUCUCAUCAUAGCCUUUUUGCUUCCACAGAGCAUCCAUUUUGCAGACAGAAUGAUAAACCCAGAACAAGUAAUUCAGAUGUAAUGAAACGAGGUUCAGGAAGCCACCAAUAGGAAAAAAAUACCAUUCAAGAUUACGGAGUAAUGAAAAUAUAACCAUCAUUUAACCUCAAUGUAAUUUCAGUCCGCAUCAUGGUAGGAUAAAUGUUGGGCAACCCUCGUCAUCUGGUUCUGUACAUUACUCCCCCGAUCUAGUUAAUCUUAAGACUCUUGUUCAAAACUAAAGUAUUUUCCCAAUGGCUAAAUCUGGAAACAGUUUCUGAAGACAUCUAUGCCGAGACGAUAAACAAAAAAUACGAAAAUAGGUCUCCAUGAGGUGGCUCAGAUGUAAAAUGGGUUGUAAGUUUGCUUUAUCAGCACAAAGAGAAAAAUUUCUUCAGAGUGGUGCAUGACUUUUCUCAUCAUAGCCUUUUGCUUCACCAGGGAGAACAAUGUCAUGGAAUACAGCAGAUUUGUCGAUUGACAUUAUAAUACUAGGAAGCGCAAUAUGGAAUGCCUCAGAUUUGUCAUUUGAUGUCAUUUUACAUCUGCUUCCUCAAGCGGUUCUCCCUGAAAAAGGGGCUUGAGUCCACAGAGCAUCUGUUUUCCAGACAGAAUCAUCAUCGGAAAACCACAGGUAAUUCAAAUUUAAGAUGGCAUGCAACAAAGGCAGUUGCUAAGUAAAUAAAUCAAGCACCUGAAUUCAACCAUACUACUAAAAUCACUGGGCAAUAAGCAGCACAAUAUUAUACAAAGUCUCUGCUUCAUUCUCCCUGAAACAGGGGGCUUGAACUUGCAGCCAAAAUAAGCAUGCCAAAAAUUAAAUUUUCAGAACUCAACUCUACACUAUAAUCAAAAGGCAAUGAGCAGAAAUGUUUUGAGAUAAGCACAAAGUCAAGACAAUGGAAGCAUAGCCAAAAACAGUUAAACCAAUGUGGCAUCUCAAGUUGCCAAAACUGAGAUGCACCUGAAGCACAAGGCCAGAACUAACGAAUCACUAUGCGCCUCUGACUGGGCAACUUUGAGAAAGGUCGACCUCAAGAAGCCAAAGGUGAGAGAGGCACACACAAAAUCAAAUGGCAGGAAACAAGCUCAUCAUCACAAAGCAGUAUUCACCCCAGCAUGAUAGCAGAGUGAAAUUGCAAACGGGAAAGCAGGUAAUCAUAUCCAUCUAUUAAGAGCAUUCAACACAGGCAGACAAAACCACAAAUGGGAUAAGAGCACAAUAAUGGAAUCGAAAUAGAGUAUUUAAACGACACAUCAUAGCUCGCACACAGGUGCAGGAGUCGGAAGUGCAACAACGCCCAGGAACACCACUUAACAUACACUAAGAUUCUCCAAAAAAGACUUGACACUAAAACUUCUGCUAGAUAACUCGAUGGCAGACACCAGAGCACUCAUUUCUUCUUGAUGGCAGCCUUGGUAACCUUGGCGCCGGUGGGGUCCUUCUUCUCAACGCCCUUGAUGACACCAACAGCAACCGUUUGUCUCAUGUCACGCACAGCGAAGCGGCCAAGAGGUGGGUAGGUGGCGAAGGUCUCCACAACCAUGGGCUUGGUGGGAAUCAUCUUCACAAUACCAGCGUCACCGUUCUUCAGGAACUUGGGCGCAGCCUCAAUCUCCUUACCAGAUCGCCUGUCAAUCUUGGUCACCAGCUCAGCAAACUUGACAGCAAUGUGGGAGGUGUGGCAGUCCAGCACUGGGGCGUAGCCGUUGCCGAUCUGACCAGGGUGGUUCAUGAUGAUGACCUGAGAGGUGAAGUUGGCUGCCUCCUUGGCAGGGUCAUCCUUAGAGUUGGAUGCAACAAACCCACGCUUCAGAUCCUUGACAGCAACGUUCUUCACGUUGAAGCCGACAUUGUCACCAGGAAGCGCCUCCAGGAGGGACUCGUGGUGCAUCUCAACGGACUUGACCUCAGUUGUCAGACCAGUGGGGCCAAAGGUAACAACCAUACCAGGCUUGAUGACACCAGUCUCAACGCGUCCAACAGGCACAGUUCCAAUGCCACCAAUCUUGUAAACAUCCUGAAGGGGAAGACGCAGGGGCUUGUCUGAGGGCCUCUUGGGCUCAUUGAUCUGGUCAAG